RNAcentral lists this small RNA (29 nucleotides) under Bombyx mori (domestic silkworm). RNAcentral's name for it is "ovarian small RNA-31064". Lineage: Eukaryota; Metazoa; Arthropoda; Insecta; Lepidoptera; Bombycidae. The record is from RNAcentral.
UGAAUACGAACGCUCCUGGAGCCAUGUGC